CGAACGGGUGAGUAACGCGUGAGGAACCUGCCUCAAAGAGGGGGACAACAGUUGGAAACGACUGCUAAUACCGCAUAAGCCCACGGGUCGGCAUCGACCAGAGGGAAAAGGAGCAAUCCGCUUUGAGAUGGCCUCGCGUCCGAUUAGCUAGUUGGUGAGGUAAUGGCCCACCAAGGCACGAUCGGUAGCCGGACUGAGAGGUUGAACGGCCACAUUGGGACUGAGACACGGCCCAGACUCCUACGGGAGGCAGCAUG
RNAcentral lists this ribosomal RNA (257 nucleotides) under uncultured bacterium. Its description in RNAcentral is "partial 16S ribosomal RNA". It matches the Rfam family "Bacterial small subunit ribosomal RNA", at positions 99 to 353 of the family's 1533-position model. The record is from RNAcentral.